GCGGAGGUACUCAAGUGGUCAAGAGGGCUCCCUGCUAAGGAGUUAGGCGGCGUUAGCCGUGCGAGGGUUCGAAUCCCUCCCUCCGCGCCA
This 90-nucleotide transfer RNA is filed under the name Bacteriophage sp. RNAcentral describes it as "tRNA-Ser". It matches the Rfam family "tRNA". Rfam says of the family: Transfer RNA (tRNA) molecules are approximately 80 nucleotides in length. Their secondary structure includes four short double-helical elements and three loops (D, anti-codon, and T loops). Further hydrogen bonds mediate the characteristic L-shaped molecular structure. tRNAs have two regions of fundamental functional importance: the anti-codon, which is responsible for specific mRNA codon recognition, and the 3' end, to which the tRNAs corresponding amino acid is attached (by aminoacyl-tRNA synthetases). tRNAs cope with the degeneracy of the genetic code in two manners: having more than one tRNA (with a specific anti-codon) for a particular amino acid; and 'wobble' base-pairing, i.e. permitting non-standard base-pairing at the 3rd anti-codon position. The record is from RNAcentral.